CCUACGGGGGGCUGCAGUGGGGAAUAUUGCACAAUGGGCGAAAGCCUGAUGCAGCGACGCCGCGUGAGUGAAGAAGUAUUUCGGUACGUAAAGCUCUAUCAGCAAGGAAGAAAAUGACGGUACUUGACUAAGAAGCCCCGGCUAACUACGUGCCAGCAGCCGCGGUAAUACGUAGGGGGCAAGCGUUAUCCGGAUUUACUGGGUGUAAAGGGAGCGUAGACGGUUCUGCAAGUCUGGUGUGAAAGCCCGGGGCUCAACCCCGGGACUGCAUUGGA
This 275-nucleotide ribosomal RNA is filed under the name uncultured bacterium. Its description in RNAcentral is "partial 16S ribosomal RNA". It matches the Rfam family "Bacterial small subunit ribosomal RNA", at positions 338 to 630 of the family's 1533-position model. The record is from RNAcentral.